Long non-coding RNA from Corticium candelabrum, 453 nucleotides. RefSeq lists it as uncharacterized. Lineage: Eukaryota; Metazoa; Porifera; Homoscleromorpha; Homosclerophorida; Plakinidae. The record is from RefSeq and is a predicted model, not a curated record. The transcript has 3 exons.
UGAUCAAGAUGGCAAGAACGCGUCCACAAAAUUGGCUCUUCUGAAGGAGGCACGUGACCCCAAUGCCCCCAUCUAAAUCCGCUACUGUCAGUCUGGGGUGCAUAGCGCAGCAGGCGCGUAACGCUUGUUUUUUGGGCUAGGAGGCAGUCAACAGAGAACGCUUGCAAGGAGUAUUAUAAACGAGUUUGACUGGGGUGGACAAGACCGCUGACUUGGCAGUGUAACAUCAUGCAGCUGACGGGUACGUGUGGGCCUUGGUGUCCAGUUCCAGAGCUGCGCCAAAGACUCUGGCCUAGCUCCAGGUGGUCAAAUCUAAAGCUAUUUUUUCUGUAAGUUACUAUAUCGUUUAGCGAAACUCCCGUAUACAGCAAUGCCAACGCCGAUAUGCUCGGGAAAGCCCACGCUUCAUUAUGCCACCCAUUAUGCAUCAACUCGAUGCGUAUAUUCGUUGCG